Molecule: ribosomal RNA, 465 nt
Filed under: uncultured bacterium
Lineage: Bacteria
Description: partial 16S ribosomal RNA
Rfam family: Bacterial small subunit ribosomal RNA
Source: RNAcentral
CCUACUGGUGGCUGCAGUGGGGAAUAUUGCGCAAUGGUCGAAAGCCUGACGCAGCGACGCCGCGUGAGGGAUGAAGGUCUUCGGAUCGUCACCCUCUGUCAGCAUGGAAGCACGGUCACUGUGCUAAUCAGCAGUGAAUUGACGGUAACUGCAAAGGAAGCACCGGCUAACUCCGUGCCAGCAGCCGCUGUAGUACGGAGGGUGCGAGCGUUAAUCGGAAUUACUGGGCGGAAAGCGCUCGUAGGCGGUAUGGCAAGUCAAGGGUGAAAUCCCCGCGCUCAACGUGUGAACUGCCUUUGAAACUGGCAAACUGGAGUGUGUGAGAGGAUAGUGGAAUUCCAGGUGGAGGAGUGAAAUCCGUAGAUAUCUGGAGGAACAUCAGUGGUGAAGGCGACUAUCUGGCACAUAACUGACGCUGAGGAGCGAAAGCGUGGGUAGCAAACAGGAUUAGAUACCCUUGUAGUC